Molecule: transfer RNA, 76 nt
Filed under: Colwellia sp. MB02u-12
Lineage: Bacteria; Pseudomonadati; Pseudomonadota; Gammaproteobacteria; Alteromonadales; Colwelliaceae
Description: tRNA-Ile
Rfam family: tRNA
About the family: Transfer RNA (tRNA) molecules are approximately 80 nucleotides in length. Their secondary structure includes four short double-helical elements and three loops (D, anti-codon, and T loops). Further hydrogen bonds mediate the characteristic L-shaped molecular structure. tRNAs have two regions of fundamental functional importance: the anti-codon, which is responsible for specific mRNA codon recognition, and the 3' end, to which the tRNAs corresponding amino acid is attached (by aminoacyl-tRNA synthetases). tRNAs cope with the degeneracy of the genetic code in two manners: having more than one tRNA (with a specific anti-codon) for a particular amino acid; and 'wobble' base-pairing, i.e. permitting non-standard base-pairing at the 3rd anti-codon position.
Source: RNAcentral
GCCUUGAUAGCUCAGUCGGUAGAGCAGAGGAUUUAUAAUCUUCGUGUCCUUGGUUCGAUUCCGGGUCAAGGCACCA